Molecule: ribosomal RNA, 494 nt
Filed under: uncultured bacterium
Lineage: Bacteria
Description: partial 16S ribosomal RNA
Rfam family: Bacterial small subunit ribosomal RNA
Source: RNAcentral
GACGAACGCUGGCGGCGUGCUUAACACAUGCAAGUCGAACGGUGAAGCGCCUUCCUUUUUGGUGGGUGUGGAUGAGUGGCGAACGGGUGAGUAACACGUGAGUAACCUGCCCCCUUCUUCUGGAUAACCGCAUGAAAGUGUGGCUAAUACGGGAUAUUCUGGGUCUGUCGCAUGAUGGGUCUGGGAAAGAUAUUGUUUCGGUGGGGGAUGGGCUCGCGGCCUAUCAGCUUGUUGGUGGGGUGAUGGCCUACCAAGGCGGUGACGGGUAGCCGGCCUGGGAGGGUGGACGGUCACACUGGGACUGAGACACGGCCCAGACUCCUACGGGAGGCAGCAGUGGGGAAUAGUGCACAAUGGGCGCAAGCCUGAUGCAGCGACGCCGCGUGAGGGAUGGAGGCCUGCGGGUUGUGAACCUCUUUCGCCAGUGAAGCAGGCCUGCCUCGUUUGUGGGUGGGUUGACGGUAGCUGGAUAAGAAGCGCCGGCUAACUACGUG